CAGUAGCCGCGGUAAUACAGAGGGUGCGAGCGUUAAUCGGAUUUACUGGGCGUAAAGCGUGCGUAGGCGGCUUCUUAAGUCGGAUGUGAAAUCCCUGAGCUUAACUUAGGAAUUGCAUUCGAUACUGGGUAGCUAGAGUAUGGGAGAGGAUGGUAGAAUUCCAGGUGUAGCGGUGAAAUGCGUAGAGAUCUGGAGGAAUACCGAUGGCGAAGGCAGCCAUCUGGCCUAAUACUGACGCUGAGGUACGAAAGCAUGGGGAGCAAACAGGAUUAGAUACCCCCGUAGUCCCUGUCUUUAUACA
This 301-nucleotide ribosomal RNA is filed under the name uncultured bacterium. RNAcentral describes it as "partial 16S ribosomal RNA". It matches the Rfam family "Bacterial small subunit ribosomal RNA", at positions 509 to 809 of the family's 1533-position model. The record is from RNAcentral.